CUACUAUGGCUGCUUACUUUCUCAUGAACGCCUUUCUGUAUCUUUACUGCCUGAGUGCAUGAGAAACUUUUUGUCUGCAGUUCCCAUAGAGGUAAUAGAGGCUGAUGGCUUUCAGUACAUCCAAAGCUCAACUCCUCAACUCCUAGACCUGGGCUUGAAGUCACGUAAAACCCCUACAGAGGUCAGCAAGUUUUAACAAAGUUCCUCUAGCAAAAGCAGUGAUGAAAGCAUCUCAGAGGCUCUUGCUGCAGCUGGGAGCACGCAGUACCUGAAAUUCCAGCCAUUUUCUCAGGGAUGUUGUUGCAACCAUGGAGAGAAAUUGGUGCAGGCUAUGCAUAAUUUCCAGAGAGGGCAAUUUCAGACUAAUCAAAGAAGAGUCCUUCCUGGAAAUUCCAUAUGCUUCAGGACUCUGCUUUCCUGAAGGUUAGAAGACUCCUUGCUAAUACAAAGAGAUGAAGGUGGAGAACCUACCCAAGAACGCUGAGCUAAAGACCCAUCUUCUGCAAUCAUGUGGUACUCCAGUGUACUCAUGUUGUCACAGAAAACUUGAAGGCAGCAAAGCUUCAGUAUCCCAUACAUAUAACAGAAGCAUUUAUGCUUAUGUCCACUUUUUGUCUGUAUUGAGUAAGAAGAUGCGAUUUGGUCUCCAGCUUGCCAAAGCCAUUAGCUGCUCGUGUAAUUUUGGGGGGUUCUCAGUUGUCAAAGCAGUUUUAGUCUUUACAGAGGAUUCCUUAAGAAGACUGCUCUGCUUGAAGUUCUUCACUGGUUUGAAGUGCUACAAUGGGCUGGUGGAUUUGCAGACAGAUUUUGGGCAAGAUAUAAAUUGGUAAGAAAAGGCACUCUGGCACUCUAUAAAUUGGCACUCUAUAAAUUGGUAAGAAAAGGUGGGACUCUGCACAGUGAAUGUUGUCACGAUCACUAUUGUGGGCUGCAUCUCUACAGGCUUUUCUGCAGGAAUGCACUAGUAUUUUUGGCUGUGCCUGGAAAACAUAAACAAGUAUUUCUUCUCCUAAGGAUUGUGUUUAGCAGCAGACAUUUGAUUUUCUACAGAAUAACUGGACAGGUAAAUUAUUAAUUAUAGUCCCUAUAGUUAGCAAUCAGAUUUUGUUAAGUGUUUAACUCCUAAUAUCAAAAUCAGAGUAUUG
RNAcentral lists this long non-coding RNA (1145 nucleotides) under Numida meleagris (helmeted guineafowl). RNAcentral describes it as "lncRNA (ENSNMEG00000022811.1)". Lineage: Eukaryota; Metazoa; Chordata; Aves; Galliformes; Numididae. The record is from RNAcentral.